Molecule: non-coding RNA, 28 nt
Filed under: Mus musculus (house mouse)
Lineage: Eukaryota; Metazoa; Chordata; Mammalia; Rodentia; Muridae
Source: RNAcentral
UGCUAUGCAGUCACCUUGGGGCUAGACC